This 226-nucleotide unclassified non-coding RNA is filed under the name Hevea brasiliensis (rubber tree). Lineage: Eukaryota; Viridiplantae; Streptophyta; Magnoliopsida; Malpighiales; Euphorbiaceae. The record is from RNAcentral.
CCCUCGAUAACGACCGAGUCGUAGUUCACUGAGCUCCUGAAUCUGAAUCGGAUGGCCAUAGUCGAGUUGAAGCGGCGAGUGAAAACAUAAAACUCGGUUCGCUAAACGGAAAGAGAAAUUUAUCAGGGAAUUGAGAGGUUCUUUUUUUGGGGGAUUUCUUUCCGGAAUGCGAUAUAUACAAAAAGAGAAAUUAAAACAAAGAUUGUACGGAAUGAUACGAAGCCUA